Small nuclear RNA from Suricata suricatta (meerkat), 104 nucleotides. The record is from Ensembl. Lineage: Eukaryota; Metazoa; Chordata; Mammalia; Carnivora; Herpestidae.
GUGCUGGCUUGGGCAGCACCCACCCUAAAAUUGGAAGGAGACACAGAUUAGCAUGGGCCCUGUGCAAGGAUGACACACAAAUUCGUGAAGCGUUCCAGAUUUUU